This 1374-nucleotide long non-coding RNA is filed under the name Mytilus galloprovincialis (Mediterranean mussel). Lineage: Eukaryota; Metazoa; Mollusca; Bivalvia; Mytilida; Mytilidae. The record is from RNAcentral.
AAACUACUGGGCCAAAUUUAACCAAACUUGGCCACAAUCAUCAUUGGGGUAUCUAGUUUAAAAAAUGUGUGGCGUGACCCGGCCAACCAACCAAGAUGGCCGCCAUGGCUAAAAAUAGAACAUAGGGGUAAAAUGCAGUUUUUGGCUUAUAACUCAAAAACCAAAGCAUUUAGAGCAAAUCUGACAUGGGAUAAAAUUGUUUAUCAGGUCAAGAUCUAUCUGCCCUGAAAUUUUCAGAUGAAUCGGACAACCCGUUGUUGGGUUGCUGCCCCUGAAUUGGUAAUUUUAAGGAAAUUUUGCUGUUUUUGGUUAUUAUCUUGAAUAUUAUUAUAGAUAGAGAUAAACUGUAAACAGCAAUAAUGUUCAGCAAAGUAAGAUUUACAAAUAAGUCAACAUGACCGAAAUGGUCAGUUGACCCCUUUAGGAGUUAUUGCCCUUUAUAGUCAAUUUUUAACCAUUUUUCGUAAAUCUUAGUAAUCUUUUACAAAAAUCUUCUCCUCUGAAACUACUGGGCCAAAUUAAUCCAAACUUGGCCACAAUCAUCAUUGGGUAUCUAGUUUAAAAAAUGUGUGGCGUGACCCGGCCAACCAACCAAGAUGGCCGCCAUGGCUAAAAAUAGAACAUAGGGGUAAAAUGCAGUUUUUUGGCUUAUAACUCAAAAAACCAAAGCAUUUAGAGCAAAUCUGACAUGGGUAAAAUUGUUUAUCAGGUCAAGAUCUAUCUGCCCUGAAAUUUUCAGAUGAAUCGACAGAACCGUUGUUGGGUUGCUGCCCCUGAAUUGGUAAUUUUAAGGAAAUUUUGCUGUUUUUGGUUAUUAUCUUGAAUAUUAUUAUAGAUAGAGAUAAACUGUAAACAGCAAUAAUGUUCAGCAAAGUAAGAUUUACAAAUAAGUCAACAUGACCAAAAUGGUCAGUUGACCCCUUUAGGAGUUAUUGCCCUUUAUAGUCAAUUUUUAACCAUUUUUCGUAAAUCUUAGUAAUCUUUUACAAAAAUCUUCUCCUCUGAAACUACUGGGCCAAAUUUAACCAAACUUGGCCACAAUCAUCUUUGGGGUAUCUAGUUUAAAAAAUGUGUCCGGUGACCCGGCCAACCAACCAAGAUGGCCGCCAUGGCUAAAAAUAGAACAUAGGGGUAAAAUGCAGUUUUUGGCUUAUAACUCAAAAACCAAAGCAUUUAGAGCAAAUCUGACAUGGGGUAAAAUUGUUUAUCAGGUCAAGAUCUAUCUGCCCUGAAAUUUUCAGAUGAAUCGGACAACCCGUUUUUGUUGGGUUGCUGCCCCUGAAUGGUAAUUUUAAGGAAAUUUUGCUGUUUUUGGUUAUUAUCUUGAAUAUUAUUAUAGAUAGAGAUAAACUGUAAACAGCAAUAAUGUUCAGC